CUCGAGGACAUCAUCAAACUCCUGGAACCUUUUGAUGAGGCUACCAGACACCUCUCUACUGAGCAGACACCAACCCUUCACCUCGUUCUCCCGACCAAAGCGACUCUACUGAGGGGUCUGUCGAUCGUGGAAGGAGACAGUGUGGUUAUGAAAGAGCUGAAAGUGAAGUUAGCCCAGGCAGUGGAGUUGGAAGUUCAAAAUCCACCAUUACCAUAAGCUAGCCACAGCUUUCUCACCUAGCUUAAGGAGUUUCUGAUUCCGUGAUUUAAAAAAGCCGAGUGAUUUUACGCUAGAUGGCGUGAUGUACAUAUCUAUUGAAGGACCAGAUAUGGACAAAUUCAGCGCCACAGAAGCUGUGGAGAACUGGUGGAAAGAUGAUGAUGGAGCCAAACGACCCGGAUUUAGCUCUUGGGAAGAAAUUUCUACACAGCAGCAGCUGGAUGAUGAAUUUAAUCUAUACUAUAAU
This is a long non-coding RNA of Cyprinodon tularosa, 466 nucleotides long. RefSeq lists it as uncharacterized. NCBI's taxonomy places the organism in Eukaryota, Metazoa, Chordata, Actinopteri, Cyprinodontiformes, Cyprinodontidae. The record is from RefSeq and is a predicted model, not a curated record. The transcript has 3 exons.